GGGAGUAUAGCUCAGUGGUAGAGUACUUGCCUACCUUGCAUGAAGCCCUGGGUUCAAUCCCUAAUACCA
This 69-nucleotide transfer RNA is filed under the name Heterocephalus glaber (naked mole-rat). It matches the Rfam family "tRNA". From Rfam's summary of the family: Transfer RNA (tRNA) molecules are approximately 80 nucleotides in length. Their secondary structure includes four short double-helical elements and three loops (D, anti-codon, and T loops). Lineage: Eukaryota; Metazoa; Chordata; Mammalia; Rodentia; Bathyergidae. The record is from Rfam by way of RNAcentral.